Molecule: non-coding RNA, 98 nt
Organism: Marasmius sp. AFHP31
Lineage: Eukaryota; Fungi; Basidiomycota; Agaricomycetes; Agaricales; Marasmiaceae
Source: the annotation of a GenBank genome assembly
GGCCGACUAGCUCAGUUGGUUAGAGCGUCGUGCUAAUAUGACCAGAAUGUACUGGAGAAAUUACGCGAAGGUCUUGGGUUCGAUCCCCACGUUGGCCA